AAGAUUAAGGUGUUUGAACAACAUCAUAAUAAUAAUUUAAGUUGAAAGCCACUCCAAUUUAAAGAUUGGUUUAUUUAUGUAGAUAAAAAUGUUUUACAACUUUUUUAUUAAAAUAAACUUGAUAGUUGGCUACAAUAGAAUACAAUUUAAGGAAGAACUACUUAAUAUUUUACUUUUCAAUCACAUUAAGCAACAAAGCACAUUUGAUUUUAAUUUUGUAUGUAUAUGUAAGAUCAUUAUUAUCUGUUAUGGCAUUAAAAUGUUUAAUCACUUCUAUUACAAGCUUGAGAAAGAAUAUAUUAUUCAAAUUUUUGAUAGCUCUAAACACAUCUACUUAAUCAUUGUCCUUCAUAUCUUUGAAUUUAUAUUGCUCUCAUAUGUUUUUUUGAGCAUCUU
This 396-nucleotide long non-coding RNA is filed under the name Physcomitrium patens. RNAcentral's name for it is "long non-coding RNA (PPAT_LNC011926)". Lineage: Eukaryota; Viridiplantae; Streptophyta; Bryopsida; Funariales; Funariaceae. The record is from RNAcentral.